UCGGUGAUGACCACCUUCGAGCACGUGUUAGACUGCUGACCAGGAUGAUCACGCCACUCGCAGUCUGAGU
This is a non-coding RNA of Erinaceus europaeus (western European hedgehog), 70 nucleotides long. The record is from Rfam. Lineage: Eukaryota; Metazoa; Chordata; Mammalia; Eulipotyphla; Erinaceidae.